Molecule: small RNA, 107 nt
Filed under: Marmota monax (woodchuck)
Lineage: Eukaryota; Metazoa; Chordata; Mammalia; Rodentia; Sciuridae
Source: RNAcentral
GCUGGGCGGGGUGGUGCCUGCCUGUUAUCCCAGCUACUCAGGAAGCUAAGGCAGGAGGAUCUCAAGUUCAAAGCCAGCCUCAGCAACUUAGUGAGACCCUGUUUCAA